This 492-nucleotide ribosomal RNA is filed under the name uncultured bacterium. RNAcentral describes it as "partial 16S ribosomal RNA". It matches the Rfam family "Bacterial small subunit ribosomal RNA", at positions 30 to 507 of the family's 1533-position model. The record is from RNAcentral.
AUUGAACGCUGGCGGCAUGCUUUACACAUGCAAGUCGAACGGUAACAGGCCUUCGGGUGCUGACGAGUGGCGAACGGGUGAGUAAUGCAUCGGAACGUGCCCAGAGGUGGGGGAUAACGCAGCGAAAGCUGUGCUAAUACCGCAUGUGAUCUGAGGAUGAAAGCGGGGGACCAGGCAGCAAUGUUUGGCCUCGCGCCUUUGGAGCGGCCGAUGUCAGAUUAGGUAGUUGGUGGGGUAAAGGCCUACCAAGCCGACGAUCUGUAGCUGGUCUGAGAGGACGACACGCCCCACUGGGCCUGAACCACCCCCCAGCCCCCGCCGGGGGCCAGAGGGGGGAAUUUUGGGAAAAGGCGCGCAACCUGGAUCCACAACUCCCGCGGGGGGAAAGAGCCCUUUCGGGUUAAAAACCCUUUUUGUACGAAACAAAAAGUCUCUGCCUAAUACCGGGGGCUGAGCACGCUCCCUAAAAAAUAACCCCCGCCUACCUCCUUC